AAAGAAAAAAAAAUGGGGCAAGCUUGUCCUGCCAGGAGAGGAUGACUGGGACUAACCAACUGAGGAAACACUGUGUUUUCAUCUCCCAUGUAAUUCCCAAAUAGGACCUGUGUUUGAGCAGCAUGGCACCAUUUAUAUAAUUUUUUCUCUCUCUAGCUCAUGUAGGAUAAUUUGAGUUAAGUCCACUUACGAUGAAACGCCACUGUUGAUGGAAAAUAUUUUCUCUUGAGUGUCAUGCUUCUUAAUAUUUGGAUUUGAAUACAUUUGCUCGGUUUAACCAGAUUCUGUUUCAACUAGUCCCACCGAAACCAGGGUUUUCACUCAGUUAUGUUACACUGUACUAGAGUAUUAUGGCUCUACAUGUCUAAACAUCUUCAAUUGGAAUUUUGAAACAGAGCAAUGGGGCAUGAAUCCUGAGCUUUGUCAUUUAUUUAUGACUUGAGAAGCUCUCUGGAUACCAUGUGUAUCUCAAAGGAAACGGAGAGUGGCCUUGGCCUGUGGAGCUCUGACUCUCAAUCCCAUGCUCCUUUCUGUAUGUAUCUCUAGGAUCUGAGCGGAUGCCUGAAGGACCACACCUGAGCUUUGGCAAAGUAUUUUAUCACUGGGUUUUGCUACCUUGUUUUGUGAUGUCACAAGAGAAAACUCAAUUUAGGCUGAGGCUGAGCCCAGAUCAAUAUGGAGCUACCUGUGCCCCUGCCCUGUUCUUGCCCUGGGUCAUCCUGCACUCAGUGUUGACUUUGUGGCAUCUACUGAAAUACUUUCAGAAGGCAGAUACAUGGUUGAUGGAGCUGGGGUUGCCUGUCUCACUGACAGAAUGGUCAGAAUUCAGCCACUUAGAACCAGCAACUAGCCUACUUUUACUUGCUUUAAAAGGAAUCAAGACUCUUUGGGCUUCCAUGGAAAUAAGAUUUGUACCAUAUGUCUAAGUUGUGCAUGCCAAGGAUAAUGGAAACAAGACUGGCGAGGGGAGGCAUGGGUAGGACUUAAAAAUUCCAGAGGUCUGCAAAGGUUUCUUCUCAGGAUAUAUGAAAAACCAUCACAUAUCAUGCUGAAAUCAAGAUAAUAAUACCCUAUACCUGCUUUAAGGCCCAGCAAUUCCACUUCUAUGUAUUUAUCCAGGAGAAAUAAAAACACGUCUACUAAAAGACUCAUACAAGAAUGUUUAUGGAAACCAUAUUCACAAUAACCCCAAGCUGGAAAUGACCCAUAUGUCCAUUAAUAAGAGAACAGAUCAACAAAAUGUGGUAUAUGCAUACAAGGGGAUACUCCUCAGGAAUAAAAAAGGAACAAACUACUGCAUUGCCCUACACAGGGGAUUUCUACUCUUCCUUUACAAAGCUGGUUUCUUCCAAACAUUAAGAUCUCUUACAGGGACUGAAUGAUAAAUGGAUGAAUGAGGAGGAUGAUGAAGGGGGAAGGUGAUGGAAGAAUUAGGACAAGGAGGCUAUGCAGGAGAUUGGUAAGCAAUGAGCUAAGAAGGCUUUGAGACCUAUUGAGAGAUUCUAAACUCCUGGAUGGGCCUAUCUGCAUUUUGUCUGCAAAGCAAUGGUAACUAGAAAAUUGGGCUGGGCGUGGUGGCUCACGCGUGUAAUCUCAGCACCUUGGGAGGCUGAGGGGGG
This 1619-nucleotide long non-coding RNA is filed under the name Homo sapiens (human). RNAcentral describes it as "HSALNT0381396". The record is from RNAcentral. Lineage: Eukaryota; Metazoa; Chordata; Mammalia; Primates; Hominidae.